This 251-nucleotide ribosomal RNA is filed under the name uncultured prokaryote. RNAcentral describes it as "partial 16S rRNA". It matches the Rfam family "Bacterial small subunit ribosomal RNA", at positions 525 to 775 of the family's 1533-position model. The record is from RNAcentral.
ACAGAGGGGGCAAGCGUUAUUCGGAAUUAUUGGGCGUAAAGGGCGCGUAGGCGGUGUCUUAAGUGAGACGUGUAAUCCCCGAGCUUAACUUGGGAACUGCAUCUCAGACUGGGGCGCUAGAGUACUGGAGAGGGUGGUAGAAUUCCACGUUGGCGGGUGGAAUGCGGAGAGAUGUGGGGGAGGGGCAAGGGGGUAGGCGGCCACCUGGAAAGUAUCUGACGCUGAGCCGCGAGAGUGUGGGGAGGAAGCAG